CGGUAUGCUACACAUGCAAGUCGAACGGAAUCUUCGGAUUUAGUGGCGGACGGGUGAGUAACGCGUGAGAAUCUGCCUUCAGGAUGGGGACAACAAUUGGAAACGAUUGCUAAUACCCGAUAUGACGAAAGUUGAAAGAUUUAUCGCCUGGAGAUGAGCUCGCGUCAGAUUAGCUAGAUGGUGUGGUAAAGGCGCACCAUGGCGACGAUCUGUAGCUGGUCUGAGAGGAUGAGCAGCCACACUGGGACUGAGACACGGCCCAGACUCCUACGGGAGGCAGCAGUGGGGAAUUUUCCGCAAUGGGCGCAAGCCUGACGGAGCAAUACCGCGUGAGGGAGGAAGGCUCUUGGGUCGUAAACCUCUUUUCUCAGGGAAGAAUACAAUGACGGUACCUGAGGAAUCAGCAUCGGCUAACUCCGUGCCAGCAGCCGCGGUAAUACGGAGGAUGCAGGCGUUAUCCGGAAUGAUUGGGCGUAAAGCGUCCGUAGGUGGUUAUGUAAGUCUGUGGUUAAAGCGUGGGGCUCAACCCCAUAAAGGCCAUGGAAACUACAAGACUUGAGUGAAGUAGGGGUAGAGGGAAUUCCCAGUGUAGCGGUGAAAUGCGUAGAGAUUGGGAAGAACACCGGUGGCGAAAGCGCUCUACUGGACUUAAAC
Molecule: ribosomal RNA, 654 nt
Filed under: uncultured cyanobacterium
Lineage: Bacteria; Bacillati; Cyanobacteriota
Description: bacterial SSU rRNA
Rfam family: Bacterial small subunit ribosomal RNA
Source: RNAcentral